ACGAACUGUGCGAACGUUAUUCGGAAUCACUGGGCUUAAAGGGUGCGUAGGCGGCGACUCAAGUCAGGUGUGAAAUCCCCCGGCUCAACCGGGGAACUGCGCUUGAAACUAGGUUGCUUGAGUGAGGUAGGGGUGUAUGGAACUUCCGGUGGAGCGGUGAAAUGUGUAGAUAUCGGAAGGAACGCCGGCGGCGAAAGCGGUACACUGGGCCUUGUCUGACGCUGAGGCACGAAAGCUAGGGGAGUGAACGGGAUUAGAUACCCCGGUAAUCCUAGCCGUAAACACUGAGCACUGGAGGAGAGGGGUUUCGGCCUUUCUCCUCGCAGCGAAAGCGUUAAGUGCUCCGCCUGGGGAGUAUGGUCGCAAGGCUG
RNAcentral lists this ribosomal RNA (371 nucleotides) under uncultured bacterium. RNAcentral's name for it is "bacterial SSU rRNA". It matches the Rfam family "Bacterial small subunit ribosomal RNA", at positions 525 to 896 of the family's 1533-position model. The record is from RNAcentral.